This 555-nucleotide ribosomal RNA is filed under the name uncultured bacterium. RNAcentral describes it as "bacterial SSU rRNA". It matches the Rfam family "Bacterial small subunit ribosomal RNA", at positions 98 to 687 of the family's 1533-position model. The record is from RNAcentral.
GCAGACGGGUGAGUAACGCGUGGGAACAUACCUUUUGGUUCGGAACAAUCACAGGGAAACUUGUGCUAAUACCGGAUAAGCCCUUACGGGGAAAGAUUUAUCGCCGAAAGAUUGGCCCGCGUCUGAUUAGCUAGUUGGUGAGGUAACGGCUCACCAAGGCGACGAUCAGUAGCUGGUCUGAGAGGAUGAUCAGCCACAUUGGGACUGAGACACGGUCCAGACUCCUACGGGAGGCAGCAGUGGGGAAUAUUGGACAAUGGGCGCAAGCCUGAUCCAGCCAUGCCGCGUGAGUGAUGAAGGCCCUAGGGUUGUAAAGCUCUUUUGUGCGGGAAGAUAAUGACGGUACCGCAAGAAUAAGCCCCGGCUAACUUCGUGCCAGCAGCCGCGGUAAUACGAAGGGGGCUAGCGUUGCUCGGAAUCACUGGGCGUAAAGGGUGCGUAGGCGGGUCUUUAAGUCAGGGGUGAAAUCCUGGAGCUCAACUCCAGAACUGCCUUUGAUACUGAGGAUCUUGAGUUCGGGAGAGGUGAGUGGAACUGCGAGUGUAGAGGUGAAAU